UACGAAGGGGGCUAGCGUUGUUCGGAAUCACUGGGCGUAAAGCGCACGUAGGCGGAUCUUUAAGUCAGGGGUGAAAUCCCGAGGCUCAACCUCGGAACUGCCUUUGAUACUGGGGAUCUCGAGUCCGGGAGAGGUGAGUGGAACUGCGAGUGUAGAGGUGAAAUUCGUAGAUAUUCGCAAGAACACCAGUGGCGAAGGCGGCUCACUGGCCCAUAACUGACGCUGAGGCACGAAAGCGUGGGGAGCAAACAGG
RNAcentral lists this ribosomal RNA (253 nucleotides) under uncultured bacterium. RNAcentral's name for it is "partial 16S ribosomal RNA". It matches the Rfam family "Bacterial small subunit ribosomal RNA", at positions 524 to 776 of the family's 1533-position model. The record is from RNAcentral.